AUGUCUCCGAGCUGCCAGUUCUUCUCGGCCCUAUGGCUAGCACUGAUGCUAGCCGUCGUGGCGGCUGAGGAGCAGCAAGGAGAAGGCUGCUCGGGCUCGCCCAAGACAUGCGGCGACCUGAGCAUCUCCUACCCAUUCUGGCUCACCAACUGGGAGACAGGAAGACCAUGCCCUUCCCCGGACUAUGAGGCUCCAACAGCUGCCAUGUACCGAUUUGGAACACCUCCGUCAAACUGGCCCGUCCUUUUAGGAUCAACACCGCCAACCAGAACCUCGUCAGUGUACAAUUGCACGGAGGAGGCCGCAGCAGCGGCUGUGGCACGCCGGGACAAAGAGCUGGUGCGGACGAGCCUGAGGUGUGGGAACGGGAGCAACAUGUUUGUUCGUGUUGGCAUGCGUUCCGACGCGACCGGGAAUUACUCCGGUUAUGCUCUGAAAGGUUGUGACACUGUCAUCGUGCCGGUGAUGGCCACGUCGGGUGUGACAAAUACGACUGACUACGAGCAGUUCAUCACCGAUAGCCAAUGUUUUAAGUAG
RNAcentral lists this ribosomal RNA (537 nucleotides) under Triticum aestivum (bread wheat). RNAcentral's name for it is "partial small subunit ribosomal RNA". The record is from RNAcentral. Lineage: Eukaryota; Viridiplantae; Streptophyta; Magnoliopsida; Poales; Poaceae.